GGUGAGUAACGCGUAGGUAACCUACCUCAUAGCGGGGGAUAACUAUUGGAAACGAUAGCUAAUACCGCAUAAGAGAGACUAACGCAUGUUAGUAAUUUAAAAGGGGCAAUUGCUCCACUAUGAGAUGGACCUGCGUUGUAUUAGCUAGUUGGUGAGGUAAAGGCUCACCAAGGCGACGAUACAUAGCCGACCUUAGAGGGUGAUCGGCCACACUGGGACUGAGACACGGCCCAG
RNAcentral lists this ribosomal RNA (234 nucleotides) under uncultured Streptococcaceae bacterium. Its description in RNAcentral is "partial 16S ribosomal RNA". It matches the Rfam family "Bacterial small subunit ribosomal RNA", at positions 105 to 334 of the family's 1533-position model. Lineage: Bacteria; Bacillati; Bacillota; Bacilli; Lactobacillales; Streptococcaceae. The record is from RNAcentral.